RNAcentral lists this ribosomal RNA (253 nucleotides) under uncultured bacterium. Its description in RNAcentral is "partial 16S ribosomal RNA". It matches the Rfam family "Bacterial small subunit ribosomal RNA", at positions 524 to 776 of the family's 1533-position model. The record is from RNAcentral.
GACAGAGGGUGCAAACGUUGUUCGGAAUUACUGGGCGUAAAGAGCGCGCAGGCGGUCGUUCAAGUCGCGUGUGAAAGCCCCCGGCUCAACUGGGGAGGGUCACGCGAUACUGAUCGACUCGAAGGCAGGAGAGGGAAGUGGAAUUCCCGGUGUAGUGGUGAAAUGCGUAGAUAUCGGGAGGAAUACCAGUGGCGAAGGCGGCUUCCUGGCCUGUUCUUGACGCUGAGGCGCGAAAGCUAGGGUAGCAAACGGG